This 490-nucleotide ribosomal RNA is filed under the name uncultured bacterium. RNAcentral's name for it is "partial 16S ribosomal RNA". It matches the Rfam family "Bacterial small subunit ribosomal RNA", at positions 29 to 507 of the family's 1533-position model. The record is from RNAcentral.
AAUGAACGCUGGCGGCAUGCCUUACACAUGCAAGUCGAACGGCAGCAUGACCUAGCUUGCUAGGUUGAUGGCGAGUGGCGAACGGGUGAGUAAUGCAUCGCAACGUGCCUUUUUGUGGGGGAUAACGUGGCGAAAGUUACGCUAAUACAGCAUAUUCUCUGAGGAGGAAAGAAGGGGGCCUUCGGGCCUUGCGCUAGAAGAGCGGCCGAUGUCGGAUUAGCUAGUUGGUGAGGUAAAGGCUCACCAAGGCAACGAUCCGUAGCGGGUCUGAGAGGAUGAUCCGCCACACUGGAACUGAGACACGGCCCAGACUCCUACGGGAGGCAGCAGUGGGGAAUUUUGGACAAUGGGCGCAAGCCUGAUCCAGCCAUGCCGCGUGAGUGAAGAAGGCCUUCGGGUUGUAAAGCUCUUUCGGCUGGGAAGAAAUCGCACUCUCUAAUACAGGGUGUGGAUGACGGUACCAGCAGAAGAAGCACCGGCUAACUACGUG